UACAGAGGGGGCUAGCGUUAUUCGGAAUUAUUGGGCGUAAAGGGCGCGUAGGCGGCCAUGCGUGUCUUCCGUGAAAUCCCUCGGCUUAACUGAGGACGUGCGGAAGAAACUGCAAGGCUCGAGUCCGGGAGAGGGGGGUGGAAUUCCCAGUGUAGCGGUGAAAUGCGUAGAUAUUGGGAGGAACACCGGUGGCGAAGGCGGCCCCCUGGCCCGAUACUGACGCUGAGGUGCGAAAGCGUGGGGAGCAAACAGG
Molecule: ribosomal RNA, 253 nt
Filed under: uncultured bacterium
Lineage: Bacteria
Description: partial 16S ribosomal RNA
Rfam family: Bacterial small subunit ribosomal RNA
Source: RNAcentral